RNAcentral lists this ribosomal RNA (958 nucleotides) under uncultured archaeon. RNAcentral's name for it is "bacterial SSU rRNA". It matches the Rfam family "Archaeal small subunit ribosomal RNA", at positions 19 to 919 of the family's 1478-position model. The record is from RNAcentral.
GGAGGGUACUGCUAUCGGAAUCCGACUAAGCCAUGCAAGUCGACGACAUCUUAUGGUGUCGUGGCGUACGGCUGAGUAACAAGUAGUCAACCUACCGUUAAGAAGGGGAUAACCUCGGGAAACUGAGGAUAAUACCCUAUAGAUCUGGGGAUCUGGAAUGCCCCCUGAUUUAAAUCUGCUAGAGAAUUGUAUCUAGCGGGCUUAACGAUGGGACUGCGGACGAUUAGGCAGUUGGCGAGGUAACGGCUCACCAAACCGAUAAUCGUUAGGGGCAAUGGGAGUUGGAGCCCCCAGAAGGGCACUGAGACAAGGGCCCUAGUCCUACGGGAUGCAGCAGGCGCGAAAAUUUUGCAAUGCGCGAAAGCGUGACAAGGGGAUUCCGAGUGAUUCUCUUCGGAGAAUCUUUUCACCUGUGUAAAUAGCAGGUGGAAUAAGGGCCGGGUAAGACCAGUGCCAGCCUUCUUAUGACGUUGCACGUUUGCGUCUUAAGACUGGAAGCCGCGGUAAUACUGGCGGCCCGAGUGGUACCCACGUAUAUUGGGUUUAAAGCGCACGUAGCUGGCUUGGUGUGUUCUCUGUGAAAUCCUUCGGCCUAACCGAGGGGCGUGCAGAGAAUACUACCAGGCUUGAGAAUGGGGGAGGCCAGAGGUACAUACAGAGUAGGGGUAAAAUCCGUUGAUCCUGUAUGGACCCACAGCGGCGAAGGCGUCUGGCUAAAACAUGUCUGACGGUGAGGUGCGAAGGCUAGGAGAACGAAACGGAUUAGAUACCCGUGUAGCCCUAGCAGUAAAUGAUGCGGACCUAGGUGUUGCCGUAACUUCGGGUUAUGGCAGUGCCCUAGCGUAAGCGUUAAGUCCGCCACCUGGGGGAGUACGAGCGCAAGCUUAAAACUUAAAAGGAAUUGGCGGGGGGAGCACCACAAUGGCGUGGAGGCUGCGGUUCAAUUGGAUCCAACGCC